UAACCCACCUGGUUCUGCUGCCCCCCCCCUUCUUGGUCCCAUCAUUCAGCAGCGUAACCAUGGGUUACGUGAUUAAUAACCUACCUAACUGUAGCCGUUGUAUAGAUUACAAACACCUUAUCCUAUACUGAUCCUUCUUUGUUGUGACACGUCCGUAACCCUCCAUGCCCUAUCCAUGAUCACACCUUAAUUAGGCACCAUAUCAUCAUCCCAUUCUGUUGAUGAUGCUGUCUAUGACACUUUACUCAUCAUAAUGAACUGUGCUGUACAUUAUAAGAACACCUUUCGGUAUCGAGACACACAACAGUAAGUGAUUGCGGUUGAGUUGUACUGUUUUUCAGUCACAAAUUUCAAUCAGAGAAAUGUGAUAAUCAUUAUUUAAAUUGUUGAUGUAUAAACAUAAUUCAUGUUCCCAAUAUUUUUUACUGUAACGUGUGAAUAUGGAUGCGUUCAAGGUUUGUGUAUGAUAGAUAAAAACAGGUCUGACAGACAAGAAUGUGGUCUGAAUCCCUGUGUGGUACAGGUAUAUACAAAUUGUACUGUAAUUCUCCUGCUAAGUGCCCUGCCCUUAGUGCCCUGUCCAUUUUCUUUCUGAGAAUUUCAUCGCUUCACUUAUUCAAAUCACUGUAAGAAGUGUUACGCUUCACGUUUUUCUUUCUUUUUUUCAAACUUGUGGAAGGCUCUGUAAUCAUUCUUAUGAAUGUAUUCAAAAAUCAGGCCCAGCCCCUGUUUUCAUCAGAAUUCCUUAUCUUAAGAAAAUCCCUGCACUUAAAAUUUUCCCAAAGAAAGCAUAAUUGGACUUAAGGAAAAAAAUACAAAAAAUGUCGUUAGGAACUUAUGGAAAAUUUAAAGGAAUAUUGAUGAAACUGGGGUGAUAGCACUUAAUAAAUAUAGUAUUGUGAUCAAGCUAGGCCAAAUAUUUCAGAACCAACCUUAGUACGUACCUGUUAAUUAAAAAAUAAAAUACAAUUUGAAAAUAUUUAGAACAAUACUGUAUAUAUAAAGUAAAUCAUACAGGAUAUCUGAAAAAUAUUUGUAGACAAUUUUUGAGAGAUUUGUUAUUAAAACGCUGUUAUUGUCAAGAUGCUAUUUAAGUAAGUUGUAUGCGUGUGCUUUUUUUUUCUUAACAUGGGUCGUAUGUAAAUACUGAGAGAGAAAAACCUGUUGUCAUUCAGACUACUUGAUUGACAGGUAGUCCAUUGAUUUGAGUUUGUGCUUGAUUAAAAUGCCCUUAAUAGAUAAGGUUGUUUAUGUGGGGAAACGAUAUUUGAACAAAGUCUUUCAGUUUGGCUAUUGCGUAUGUGCAUGUAGUGUAAGGUUGUUGCUAAUCCAUCGUUGAUGUUGAUCAACAUUACGGAAUCGUACUGGGGCCAGUUUACACAUCCAGUUUCCAUUUUGAAAAGUCAUUCAUGCAUGAGUAGAAAUCGCGUAGAGAUAACUUUUGUAAUGUCAUUUAGCUUCAUAAUUUGUAUAUCUGUAAACAUUGUCCCAUGAUCAAAUCAUUUCGCAGAUUGUGAUGUACAAUUGUUAUUCCAUGUUGUCUGUACCGAGAUGUUUAUAACCUUUUUGUAGACAGUGCUACUUAUGUAGCCUUAGUUUAUACAUGUAUACACAUUUUUGCCAAUGCCUUUCUCCAUUUUUACCUGUGGAAAGUAUGUGUUUCAUUAUAUGUUAACUCCAGAGCCCUCCACAGAUUUAUUUUAUUGCCAGGUAUCACAGACUCUUAAUUUGAAAACUUAUCUAAAGAUUUCAACAUGUGCCCUGAGCCCUGAUCACUCUGCUGCUACGAGAAGCUAAUAUGAUUCUCUUUCAAGACUUUUACUUGGAUAACUGAAUCCCAUCUUCCUCUUCAUCAACCCAUCAGCCCAGUUACAUGUUUCAGUGUGCUGUUUAAACUGAAAUGUUAGCUUUAGAACCACAGAUUUUUGCUGAUAGAUCCUGCUUGUCUCUUUAUUUGCUGGGAUGCCGUCGAGUAACCACCGAGAACUAAGCCAGCAAUUGAACGGGUGUACACCAGAUCGCUCAAUGAUCAGGCAAUUUGAACAUGAUCAUUUCGCAAAUAUUUGUCACUUGUUUUAUAUCAGUUAGCGAGAAUAAAAUGACCUUAAUGUCCAUUUCAUAAAAGAUUUAUGAGACUUUGUCACAAUUUUUCAGUUAAGCUUAUGUACCUACUUCCUCUAUCCCUCUAAGCCACCCAAGGUUUUGGCUAGUAGUAUGCUUUACCUGUUUGGUAUAAGUUUGUUAUCGGACCAUUUGAUGAAACAAGUAGCUUGCUCAGUUCAUUCAAAUUAAUGCAAAAACCCUUUUAAGGCUUCCAUAUAGUGAGUAGGAUAUGAUUGUGAAAUAUAACUCACAGGUUUCGGCAUUAUUGAGUUCUCAGUAGAGUUGACAUAUAACUCACAGGUUUCUGCAUUAUUGAGUUCUCAGUAGAGUUGACAUAUAACUCACAGGUUUCUGCAUUAUUGAGUUCUAAGUAGAGUUGACAUUACUCACAGGUUUCGGCGUUAUUGAGUUCUCAGUAGAGUUGACAUAACUCACAGGUUUCUGCAUUAUUGAGUUCUCAGUAGAGUUGACAUAACUCACAGGUUUCUGCAUUAUUGAGUUCUCAGUAGAGUUGACAUAACUCACAGGUUUCUGUAUUAUUGAGUUCUCAGUAGAGUUGACAUAUAACUCACAGGUUUCUGCAUUAUUGAGUUCUCAGUAGAGUUGACAUAUAACUCACAGGUUUCUACAUUAUUGAGUUCUUAGUAGAGUUGAUCAUGUACCAAGGAUUGAUAAACUAUAAAGUCAACGAUGAGAAAGGUCAAAUCAAAUCGAUGUUGUGACGUAAACUGACGUGUUGUAUUCAUAUGUUAUAAACAUCUGUUGUAAUCCUAUGUUAAUUGUAAAAGUUGUGACUGUGUGGUAAAGUUUUGUUGUGUUUUAAACACUCUGUCAUUGGAAAUCCUUUUCCACUGUCAUGUGUUUCUUUUUCAUGUUUUUUCAUGUUAAUUCAUAAACACUUGGAUCUAAAUUGGAGCUCUGAAUGAUAACCAUGAAUUUGUGUAGAUAUUGUUGUUGAAAUAUUUGGCGCCUUGUCGUAGACCUAUAUGUUGUAUAUUAGACGAAGUGCCUUUUACGAUCAGUACCUCUCACUGUAUCACUACACACGUAAUAUCAUUUGUACCCCAUCACAGGCCCAGAAUAGUGUAUAUAUCAUAUAGCCUAAAUCUUAGGCUAGAAUAUUCAGUUACCAUGGAGAUAGUAGAAUGUUCGCUAAAUAUGUAGAAAUUGUCUAGUUAUUCGAUUGAGAGAUUUUUUUUUUCUGAUUGUAAUGAAAUGAUUGAUGAAAACAGUAUGUUUUUGUUUCCACUUGUAACAUUUUACCAUAAUUUAUUUUUUGUAGGGUUUUUUUAUGUAACAUAUAAGCUGCAUAAUGAAUACAGUUAGUACAUAAAUAUAUAGUUAUAUAAAUAAGUGUAUUGUGUAGUCCAAUUACAGCACCACAAGGAGGGAUAGGGUGUCACAUUCAGUCAAACACUAGUGAUAUCAUUUAUCAUAACAAAAAUUGUAUGCUGGUUAGUCCUUUGGCUAGACACUUCGUUAUUCAUUUUUGGAGGCCAACCCAUCGCUAUCUCCCAAUAUGGUGUGGCCCCUUCUGACCAAGUGUGACCCUUUUGUUCAAAUCUUAUCCUUCCAGAUAAAUCUUGCUGCUCUAGAUCUAGUCUAGCCCCCUCAGAUCAAGUUGGCCUUAUGAACAAUCUGACCUGUCUAAAUUAAGUCUGGCCCCCUACAGAUCAAGUUGGGACACCAAAUGAUCAUGUGCGACCCAUCAGAUCAAGUCUGGCCUUUCCAGAUUAAGUCUGACACCUGUGAUCAAGUCUGGCCUUUCCAGAUCAAGUUUUGCAACUUUGAUCAAGUCUGACCUGUCCAGAUCAAGUCUGACACCUCUGAUCAAGUCAAACCACUCUUGGUGGUGUGUUGUACAUGUACUCUAUAAUGAAAUAAUAUACUUCAAUAAAAUCUCCCAACUCUUUUAUAAUAAAUUAUGAGUGAUGAUAUUCUGCAAAUAGUAAAUGCCCCAUCCGUAACAUUUGAGAGUUGAAUCUUUUCACCAAAAUUGGCAAACAGAAAUUUAUACAAGGACUUUCAUAAGCAUUUUGUAAAAUUCUACAUUCAGUCUAGAUUUCCACCAUUGCUAUGAUCCAAAGGGUGUAUAAGAUGGGAUAUGGUGUAUCUUUUACAGCCAUAACUUACUCACUGGUGUUCUUUCUUGUAUCAUCUUGUACAUAAAUAUCUACUGGUAGACACAAUUUUACACACAACAUUAUCACAUAUUGGGGUUACAACUCCAAAAUAUAUACCGGUAAUUUAUGUAUAUUUGACUCUCAUUACAAUUUUCCAAUGAAUCCAUUUUUCAGUAUUUUCACUCCUGUUUUAAUCAUAUGUACAGUAUUGAAUAUCAAGUUUUGAAAAAAAAAUUCCUUUACUUAUGCUUAAUGUGUUCUUAAAUUAAUUUUAUAAGUUUUAUUCCAAACAGUUUUAUAAUUAGGGUAUGUCUUCCACCUCUCUUCAGUUCUACUUCCUGUGAAACUGAUUAGAAUAUUUUUAUGUUGAGCAAACAUCUCCAUUAAGGAUACUGUGUUAUUACCAUUAUUUUUCCUUGGCCAAUGACCACCAAACUCUAAUGAUAUCAGUGUGCAUGAAAUAUUUUCUAAACCCAAAUAAAUUGCCGCACAGAAUGGUCAAAGUUAAAAGUAUUAAUGAAAAGUUCUUUCUUUUUUCCAAAGCAAAACUGAUAUAUUAAUUCAGACAUGCCGUAUUCAACCUAAUAAGCACAUUUGCCCCUCUAACCACAACCACUCCUUUUUUCAGGAAAAGAAGACGGAUGUGCCAAUUUAAUAUAGAAAGUUUCUAACCUCACUGAUCUGCAAAUAUAAUCUUCAGCCUUUUAACCAAAGACUCUUGAUUGUUUUCACUACAUAAAUGUAUAUCAAUGAAAAAAAAAAAAAAUAAAAAAAUUUCCACCCAUAUUUCACAAAAAUUUUAGAAAUUUUUCUCUGAACAUGGUUUGAUUAUACUCGCCCCUUUUGUGGUUUUGUAAGUGUAGUGUGCUUAUUAGUUCGAAUAUGUUAUGUAUGUUGUGCAAAAAUAGAAUAAAAAUUAUUCUGCGUGCUCUUUUUAGGACAUAUACUUCGAUGUUACCAUUAUUCCUCCAACAGUAAGCCUUUGUACACUCCAUUUUCGACAUUUUUUACUGAACUGCUAUAGAUUCAUUGCUAUUCAUUACCCCCAUAUUGACCGUAAAUUUGAGUAAGAUAUGUGUUGACCCCUUGUGCUUAUCGCAGGAGAUAUAUGGUAGUGUCAGAAUGGGAGGUCAAAGGUCAUAUUGGUUUAUUUUAUUUUUUUAUUUUUUUUUAAUGAAAGCUGAUGGGCAUUUCAGAAUUCAUUUCGGAAUUCAUCAGUGAAGUGAAAAAGGACUAUAGUAAUUAAGAAGAUACAUGUAUGGUAUUUAAAAAAAAAAUUGGCACUUACAGCUGUGCAAGGGCAGCAUGCAUAAUUAUAUUCCUGCUCAAUAAAAGUUCAUUGAAUACAUGUAUUUAUUUGUGAUAUACCAAAGAUUAUCCUUAUAAGUAUUUCACUGCCGAUAAAGGUAAAUAGUUCACUGUGGAAAACCAGUUUGGUUUAACAGAUUGGAGAAAGUUAUGUUGUCAUAUCAAUAAAUACAUAAAUAAAAUGGGUAAAUUAAUAAUAGGCUAAGGUUAAUUCCGAAAGUGUAAACUUUGAAAUUAAUCAAUUUAUGGAUUAAUCUGAUUAACUAAAUUUCUCUUUAAAGGUAGCAGUCCAUUAAGUUAUACUUAAAAAGAUAUAAAAAAAAAUUUAAACAUAUUUAUUAAGCACUAUUAGUUUUAGGAAAGCAUUACCCAUUCAUUUCAGAAGAUCUUUUUAGUAUUUUAUUUUGUAAAACAUAUUUUAGUUAUUAGAUAUUUAUGGAUUUUCUGUGCCAAAUUGUGCCACAUAGACCUUUAUCAUUUUAACUAGAAAUUAUUUUUUGUUGAAGAAGAGCAUUCACACCCUUUAGAUAUCAUAUUUAUCUUGUUUUUAAUCAUUCAGAUAUUUAUUAAGUAAUCUGGUCCAUGAGAACCAGAUAAAAAAAGACUGAUGUCAGAUUAAAUGGGAAGAUAAUUAAUUAUCAUAACAAAUGGAGGACAGCUAUCCUAAUGACAAUUAUAAAGUGUGAUCUUGUCUGGUCUUUUUGAUAAAGUGGCGGAUCAAGAGACAAGUUGCUCGAGAUUCAAAAAUAGGGGAAAUGUUGUAUCAUUAUAAUACAUAUAACAGGCCCGUUACCGAGUGAAUAUGCCUGCGUAAUAUUUUUGCAUAUAUGAUCAGUGUUAUAUACCCUGGAGCGAUUUGAUUGGCUGCUCCAAUAACAAAUUCAUCGUGAUGUCAUAAUAUGAAACAUGAUGCAUCGUCAUGAAUUGUGUAUGCACAAAAAAAUGGCUGGCUCUGUUUGAUUUAGUGUUCCAUAUUUUUACUAUAGAACCUGUCAAAAUGAAUUUUUAGUAAUGUGAUGAAAAAUAUCUUCAACUUGUUUUCAUUUCAUAUGAGAUUUUAAGAAACUUGCUUCAAAAUUUUAGUCCUUGCUCACCAAGGCUCACAAAAAUAGAAAUAUCUACGACUCGUUUCAUAAAAUCUUGUAUGAAAUGAAUCCUGUAUGUAGAAUCUAUUUAAGUGGUAUUGGGAAGAGGGAUGGAUCUCCUGAAGCCACAGAAUCUCUUUAGAUCCGCCACAGAGAUGCAGGCUAUUUUGAUAAUGGUAUUUUAAAUUUGAUUGGACAAUGACUUUUUGGACCAGUUGUUAGUGACGUACAUGUAGUAGUGUUUUUGAUGGAGAACAGCGAGUGUGAAUCUGACUUGAUGUGCAUUAUACACCAAAUAUGAUGUUUUUAUAGCAAUUGACUGAAAUAUACUUUGCCAUGCAAAGACAGUAUCAGAUUACAUGUAUUCUCAAUAAACUGGAAACAAUA
Molecule: long non-coding RNA, 7006 nt
Organism: Pecten maximus
Lineage: Eukaryota; Metazoa; Mollusca; Bivalvia; Pectinida; Pectinidae
Exons: 2
Source: RefSeq, a predicted model, not a curated record